UACGUAGGGUGCAAGCGUUAAUCGGAAUUACUAGGCGUAAAGCGUGCGCAGGCGGUUAUGCAAGACAGAUGUGAAAUCCCCGGGCUCAACCUGGGAACUGCAUUUGUGACUGCAUGGCUAGAGUACGGUAGAGGGGGAUGGAAUUCCGCGUGUAGCAGUGAAAUGCGUAGAUAUGCGGAGGAACACCGAUGGCGAAGGCAAUCCCCUGGACCUGUACUGACGCUCAUGCACGAAAGCGUGGGGAGCAAACAGG
Molecule: ribosomal RNA, 253 nt
Filed under: uncultured bacterium
Lineage: Bacteria
Description: partial 16S ribosomal RNA
Rfam family: Bacterial small subunit ribosomal RNA
Source: RNAcentral